Molecule: ribosomal RNA, 828 nt
Filed under: uncultured bacterium
Lineage: Bacteria
Description: bacterial SSU rRNA
Rfam family: Bacterial small subunit ribosomal RNA
Source: RNAcentral
GUUUGAUCCUGGCUCGAAUGAACGCUGGCGGCAGGCCUAACACAUGCAAGUCGAACGGAGUUAUAUUGUAGCUUGCUAUGGUAUAACUUAGUGGCGGACGGGUGAGUAAUGUAUAGGAAUCUACCUAGUAGUACGGAAUAAUUGUUGGAAACGGCAACUAAUACCGUAUACGCCCUACGGGGGAAAAAUUUAUUGCUAUUAGAUGAGCCUAUAUUAGAUUAGCUAGUUGGUGGAGUAAUAGCCUACCAAGGCAAUGAUCUAUAGCUGAUCUGAGAGGAUGAUCAGCCACACUGGAACUGAGAUACGGUCCAGACUCCUACGGGAGGCAGCAGUGGGGAAUAUUGGACAAUGGGCGAAAGCCUGAUCCAGCCAUGCCGCAUGAGUGAAGAAGGCCUUUGGGUUGUAAAGCUCUUUUAGUGAGGAAGAUAAUGACGGUACUCACAGAAGAAGUCCUGGCUAACUCCGUGCCAGCAGCCGCGGUAAUACGGAGAGGGCUAGCGUUAUUCGGAAUUAUUGGGCGUAAAGGGCGCGUAGGCGGAUUAGUAAGUUAAAAGUGAAAUCCCAAGGCUCAACCUUGGAAUUGCUUUUAAAACUGCUAAUCUAGAGAUUGAAAGAGGAUAGAGGAAUUCCUAGUGUAGAGGUGAAAUUCGUAAAUAUUAGGAGGAACACCAGUGGCGAAGGCGUCUAUCUGGUUCAAAUCUGACGCUGAGGCGCGAAGGCGUGGGGAGCAAACAGGAUUAGAUACCCUGGUAGUCCACGCUGUAAACGAUGAAUGUUAAAUAUGGGAAGUUUUACUUUCUGUAUUACAGCUAACGCGUUAAACAUUCC